This 511-nucleotide ribosomal RNA is filed under the name uncultured bacterium. RNAcentral's name for it is "bacterial SSU rRNA". It matches the Rfam family "Bacterial small subunit ribosomal RNA", at positions 28 to 526 of the family's 1533-position model. The record is from RNAcentral.
GACGAACGCUGGCGGCGCGCUUAACACAUGCAAGUCGAGCGAGAACCGGGGCUUCGGCCCCGGGGACAGCGGCGAACGGGUGAGUAACACGUGGGUAAUCUGCCCUCGGCGCCGGGAUAGCCCGGGGAAACCCGGAUUAAUACCGGAUGUCCCCUCAGCCCUUCGGGGCAGUGGGAAAAGGUAGCUUCGGCCUCCGGCCGAGGAGGAGCCCGCGGCCGAUUAGCUUGUUGGCGGGGUAACGGCCCACCAAGGCGACGAUCGGUAGCUGGUGUGAGAGCAUGAUCAGCCACACUGGGACUGAGACACGGCCCAGACUCCUACGGGAGGCAGCAGUGGGGAAUCUUGCGCAAUGGGCGAAAGCCUGACGCAGCGACGCCGCGUGCGGGAAGAAGGCCUUCGGGUUGUAAACCGCUUUCAGGAGGGACGAAGCCACUCGGGUUAAUAGCCCAGAGGGUGACGGUACCUCCAGAAGAAGCCCCGGCUAACUACGUGCCAGCCGCCGCAGUAACAC